RNAcentral lists this ribosomal RNA (253 nucleotides) under uncultured bacterium. Its description in RNAcentral is "partial 16S ribosomal RNA". It matches the Rfam family "Bacterial small subunit ribosomal RNA", at positions 524 to 776 of the family's 1533-position model. The record is from RNAcentral.
UACGUAGGGUGCGAGCGUUGUCCGGAAUUACUGGGCGUAAAGAGCUCGUAGGUGGUUUGUCGCGUUGUCCGUGAAAUCUCACAACUCAAUUGUGAGCGUGCGGGCGAUACGGGCAGACUGGAGUACUGCAGGGGAGACUGGAAUUCCUGGUGUAGCGGUGGAAUGCGCAGAUAUCAGGAGGAACACCGGUGGCGAAGGCGGGUCUCUGGGCAACUACUGACGCUGAGGAGCGAAAGCGUGGGGAGCGAACAGG